UACGGGGGGUGCAAGCGUUAUCCGGAUUCACUGGGUUUAAAGGGUGCGUAGGUGGGUUGGUAAGUCAGUGGUGAAAUCUCCGGGCUCAACUCGAAGUCUGCACGAGAAACUGCCGGGCUUGAGUAUGGGAGAGGUGAGUGGAAUUCCCGGUGUAGCGGUGAAAUGCGUAGAGAUCCGGAAGAACACCGGUGGCGAAGGCGGCCUGCUGGGCAGUAGCUGACACUGAGGCGCGACAGCGUGGGGAGCAAACAGG
RNAcentral lists this ribosomal RNA (253 nucleotides) under uncultured bacterium. Its description in RNAcentral is "partial 16S ribosomal RNA". It matches the Rfam family "Bacterial small subunit ribosomal RNA", at positions 524 to 776 of the family's 1533-position model. The record is from RNAcentral.